Molecule: ribosomal RNA, 495 nt
Filed under: uncultured bacterium
Lineage: Bacteria
Description: partial 16S ribosomal RNA
Rfam family: Bacterial small subunit ribosomal RNA
Source: RNAcentral
GACGAACGCUGGCGGCGUGCCUAAUACAUGCAAGUAGAACGCUGAAGGAGGAGCUUGCUUCUCUGGAUGAGUUGCGAACGGGUGAGUAACGCGUAGGUAACCUGCCUGGUAGCGGGGGAUAACUAUUGGAAACGAUAGCUAAUACCGCAUAAGAGUAGAUGUUGCAUGACAUUUGCUUAAAAGGUGCAAUUGCAUCACUACCAGAUGGACCUGCGUUGUAUUAGCUAGUUGGUGGGGUAACGGCUCACCAAGGCGACGAUACAUAGCCGACCUGAGAGGGUGAUCGGCCACACUGGGACUGAGACACGGCCCAGACUCCUACGGGAGGCAGCAGUAGGGAAUCUUCGGCAAUGGACGGAAGUCUGACCGAGCAACGCCGCGUGGGUGAAGAAGGUUUUCGGAUCGUAAAGCUCUGUUGUAAGAGAAGAACGAGUGUGAGAGUGGAAAGUUCACACUGUGACGGUAUCUUACCAGAAAGGGACGGCUAACUACGUG